RNAcentral lists this ribosomal RNA (460 nucleotides) under uncultured bacterium. RNAcentral describes it as "partial 16S ribosomal RNA". It matches the Rfam family "Bacterial small subunit ribosomal RNA", at positions 338 to 795 of the family's 1533-position model. The record is from RNAcentral.
CCUACGGGAGGCUGCAGUGAGGAAUAUUGGUCAAUGGGCGCUAGCCUGAACCAGCCAAGUAGCGUGAAGGAUGACUGCCCUAUGGGUUGUAAACUUCUUUUAUAUGGGAAUAAAGUGCAGUAUGUAUACUGCUUUGCAUGUACCUUAUGAAUAAGGAUCGGCUAACUCCGUGCCAGCAGCCGCGGUAAUACGGAGGAUCCGAGCGUUAUCCGGAUUUAUUGGGUUUAAAGGGAGCGUAGGCGGGUUGUUAAGUCAGUUGUGAAAGUUUGCGGCUCAACCGUAAAAUUGCAGUUGAUACUGGCAGCCUUGAGUACAGUAGAGGUAGGCGGAAUUCGUGGUGUAGCGGUGAAAUGCUUAGAUAUCACGAAGAACUCCGAUUGCGAAGGCAGCCUGCUGGACUGUAACUUACGCUGAUGCUCGAAAGUGUGGGUAUCAAACAGGAUUAGAUACCCCAGUAGUC